CAGUACGCAGCUCGUCACGGCUUCACAAACACCUACGCAUUCUCGUCGACAGAAAUAAUCUUAACAUGGAGGGACAGAAGAGGAAAUGACUGCUUUUACAGCUAUAGUUGCUGCAGCAACAACAACUAUUGUAGUGGGAGAAUAUUGCCGAAAUUAUUUAUUUAGGACACCCUCACGAUUUGGAUACUAUAAAAGAAGCAGGAUCAUAAAUGGGAUAAUUAGAUCGGGUGACCAAGAAUGUGUUACACAACUCUGAAUAAAUAGGGCUACAUUCUUCAACCUAUGCUCCUUUCUCAAGGAUAGGAAUCUCCUUCCUGAAGGGAAACAUGUUUGUAUGAAAGAACAACUUGUCAUGUUCCUUCAUACAGUAGGGCAUAAUGUGAGGAACCGUGUCAUUGGUAAUCGGUUUAUAAGGUCUGGAGAAACGGUAAGUCGAUAUUUUAGUAAAGCUCCGGAUGUUGUUGUCGGAAUAUAUCCAGACUUUGUAAAACUCCCAAGUGCGGAUAGACCUGUCGAGAUUCUAGCCAAUCCCAAUUGGAGCACAUAUUUUCAGAUAAUUGAAGUUAGUAACGGGGAAAUGUCUCCAAAGAAACCAAACAACCAAUCCACCCUGACAAAAGAAACUGGUCAAGAACGGUGUGUUACACCAUGAAGGACACCAAAGAAAUACAAAUUAAAAUCACCCGAUGGAAAUGGAUCGUCAAGUGGUGUAAUGCGGUGGACAGAUGAAAUGGAUGAUUGCCUUAUCAAUACGCUAAUGGAUGUUGUUGCAAAUGGCCGUAAGAGUGCCAAUGGUUUUAAGAAGGAAACCUACAAAACAGUCGUGGAGACCGUGAGAAAUGCAAUAGGAAUAACAGUUCAAGAGAAACAUGUUGGGAAUUGCCUUUGCACUUUGAAGAGGUUGUAUUUCGAGGUUCGGGACACUCUAAACACUAAUGGCUUUGGUUGGGACGAUGACUUGAAGAUAGUGACCAAUGCGGAUGAUGUUUGGGAGGAUUACAUACGAGUGAAACUAUUUUUGAAAUAAAAUUUGUUAUGACUUCAGUAAUUAAUUUUGUUUUUAUAUUGUACGUAUGUUCUCAUGUAUGUUUAUUUAUAUUGAUUUUUAUCGUUGUUGUCACUAGUCGCAUCCUUGCGCAUAACAUGUUCAGGGGAAAACGGUGUGAAGGUACGAUGACCUAACAUACGUAUUCGGUAAUGACCGAGCAGCUGGAUUGCAUGCUUCCACAAGAAACAUACAUAAUACUAAGCCAUCGAGAAGGUUCAGGGAUACUGAUAUUUCACCGACACGGUUUGUAGAUCUGAAUGACGAUACUCUCAUGUUAUUGAGUGACGAUGUAGGGGACAGUGCGCCUAACAUCCAGUGGUCGUAUCGAAGUUGUGAUGGUUCUCAUAUUGCAAACCGAAGUCCGACUGUGAAUGGGAACAACUCGGCCAACACGGGAAGCACAACCAAUUUAGGGAAGAGAGUUAGGAUGGAAUGCCCUUGUGAUAUCAUAGCCAAAGGAAUGAGUGACGUUGCUGAAGCUGUCAAAUCAUUGGCUGUUACCAUACACCAAGGGAAGGACAUGUUACAUAUGUUGCAGGUUGUACCUGCUCUGGAGCAGAUUGAGGGCCUUACUGGUCAUGAGAUCUUACGCGCAAUAAGAAUACUAUCGAAAGAUGAACAACAAUCUGCUUCAUUCCUUUCUCUCCAUGAGAAUAGAAGGUUGGAUUUCGUGUUGAUGCUGCUUGCUCCAGAUCAUUCAUUUGACUGUGUAGUCCCCUCCACCUGACCGUAUGGGUUUCUGUUUUGUUUGGCUGGUUUGCCAAGUGAUUUUUUGGACAUAUGUGCUAGUUCUGUUGACUAGCUGGAUGAAUGUGGAUUAUUUUGGAUGAUCUUUUUUAUUUCUUUUUUGAAAUGUGUAUUGAAUGAUCCAUCCAUUGAUGCCGGUUAACCUGCAUUAUCUGUUUAUAAGGUGUGGAAAUUUUGUUAUGAUUAUGUCUACGCGGCUCAUGUUACUGCACUCUGUAUAGGAUAACAAUUCAGAUUUAACAGAUUCAGUCUCCUCUUCAGAUGGGUAAAAAAAUGUAUGUUGUAUUCAAUGGCUGCCAACCCAAUAUCUAUCAUACAUGGGAGGAGUGCAGUCAACAAGUAAGAUGGAUAUUCUUCAGCCUGCUUCCGUGGCUACAAAUCGGCGUCGGAAGCAUAUACUUAAUGGACUGCUACCUCGCAUCAGAAUGCAGCAUUGGGCGACUUGGAUGCUGAUUAUGACACCAUGGGAUCGACGCAUGGACGUGGUUGCAUCGCCAGUUACAGCAACCAUCUUACAGGGAGAUCAAGAUCGACAUCAAAUUACUGUCAUUACAGUGAUGGCAACGGCACAUAGGGAGAUGAGGUUGAUGAAAUGCCGCAUUUACUUGAGGCGCUGAUAAAGAUUGUAUUUGGUUGCUAGGUUUUAAUCCUUGCCAUUCAUCUCAUCUCAUGUUGCUAAAGAUCAAACUUACUGGACACAGUGGCCAAAUUAGUAGCUGGUUUUACUUUCUGCUUUUUGGGACGUUUUUGGAUAUAUGUUGGACUAUGAUGGACUGUGAAAUCUGAUUCGCUAUAUAUGUUUUGGACAUGACUAUGGCUGCUAGUAGUAUAUAAGGUUGUAGUGGCAGUAUCAGUUUCAUUCA
Magnolia sinica is the source of this 2658-nucleotide long non-coding RNA. RefSeq lists it as uncharacterized. The record is from RefSeq and is a predicted model, not a curated record. NCBI's taxonomy places the organism in Eukaryota, Viridiplantae, Streptophyta, Magnoliopsida, Magnoliales, Magnoliaceae. The transcript has 4 exons.